AGGGAGGGAGGGAGGGAGGGAAAGAAGGAAGAGGUCGGAGUCGCGCUCCUCGUUUUGACAGACGCGGCCAGUUGCUGCGAAAGCCGGGACACCCGAGCCGCCCAAACAAGCAGUGCCGGGUCUAACGCCUCCUCGGAGAGCGGAGAGAGGAGUAAGAGAGCGAGAGAGGAGCCCGGGUUGCAAAGCCGCCCACCCACGCAAAGAGAGAGAGAAGGAGCAAAGGUGGAGCCGACGGUUUGAAUACGGAGAGCAAGGUGAGCUCCCGCUGUUAGCCCCAGCUUAUGCCAACCUAGCAGUUCGAAAACAUGCAAACAUGUGAAUGCUAGACAAUGAAGAAAGCAGAUAUGAAGAAAAUCAAGUCAUUUAAAAUGUGACAUUGGAAGAGACUUUGGUGGCCUGCCUACAGACCUGUAAAUGGGUUUAAAAGCAAAUCAUGCCUGAAUUAGAAGCCAAGAUGACUGAACCAAAAAUGUCAUACAUUGUACAUAUCAUGAGAAGACACAACUCACUAGAAAAGUCAGUGAUGUCUAGUGAAGUAGAAGACAGUGGGAAAAGAGAUAGACCAUAUUCCAAAUGGAUAGAUUCAAUCAAGAAAGCCACAGUCCUGAGUCUGCAUGUCCUGAGUUGGAGAGUAGGUGGGCUGUUGAUGAUAGGAUGACUUGGAAGUCUUUCAUUUAUAGGAUUGCUGCUUUGGAACCAUGUUGGAAGACAGGUGGCAUGUAAAUAAUAUUAAUAAAUAAUAUCCAAUAAUAAUAAAUUGUUGACUUGAUGGUGAUGAACAACAAGGUUUUGUUUACUUGCAUGAGCAGAAAUAGCAGUAGGGUGUGGUGGAUACACGGAGAAGAGAUGAGGCUCCUGUGCAGUUGAGUAGAAGCGUGGUUUCCAUGCAUGUUACUGACAUUUCCUCUUUCAAUAUGUAUUAUAGGUACAGGAACCACAUCCUCCUCCUGUGGCCAUCCAUGACAGUGGGAAUUUUUGCUUACAUCAGAGCUUGCAAUGUGUUGUAGAAAAUGAGGCCCCAUAGGCUUUUGGAUAUUCCAGGAGGGGAAAUUGUGCUUUUAAUAUUUUUCAGGCAGAACAUUAAAUGCUAAACAAGUGCAUUAGAUCAUAUUGUUGUGAGGAGAGAGACUGUAUCAUUAAUGUAUUUCUAGAGCUGUUAUUAGGAAUAGGGUCAUCUUAGGACGGUGGUUCUCCACCUAUUUGCUUGGAUUUUAAUGUAUUUAUUAUUUAUUUUGUGAAUCGUUGGAAUGUUUUUGGUCAAAUGUCUUGUGUUGUUGUUUUCGGGCUUGUCCCUGUUGUAAGCCUCCCCGAGUCCCUUCGGGGAGAUGGGGCGGGAUAUAAAAAUAAAGUUUAUUAUUAUUUUAUUACUAUGGGAGGUGUUUUGGCCUACAACUCCCAGAAAUCCCAGCCAGUUUACGAGAUGUUUUGGGAGUUGAAGGCCAAAACAUUUGGGGACCCACAGGUUGAAAACCACUGUCUUAAGAGAUGAACUUGUGGUUUUGAAACAAUUGGGAAAAAAAGCUUUUAAGAUUCUAGGGAACUGGUACACCAAGCGUGUGCCCACUGGCAGGUCUCUAAAUCACCAGGGUGUUACCAGCAUGAACUGAUCAUAACAUCUUUAUUCCUUGGCAUUACAGUGGUUUAGAAACUUCCUUUCUCAUCCUUUAAGAAUGAAUAGUAUUGUGUGAUUCAUAACUCUUUCAGAAAAAGUUAAUUUCCUUUUCGUGAGUUGCCAUUGCCAAAUGACAGUAAAUUAUGUUUCUUCUGUUGGAAAGGAAAAAGGAAUUUAGAUUAAGCCUGUGGUUUUUUAUGUGGCAGGAUGGAAAAAUUGCAAUCUCAUUUGCCCAGCUUCAUUUUUGUUUGUGUAAGAGGUACUGCUUGCAAUUUAACACCUUGGAACCAGCAAGAGGGGGGUAGUACAAUUGCCUCUCAGAGCCAAUAUUACUUUCCCUGUGGCACCUUAUCAGCAAAAUUGGUUAUGAGAGUGGCUACUCUGAGUUAUCAUACGAUUCUUUUACUGUCUGAAAUACUUUGCCUUAUCUCUGUCUAUUUGUCUCUCUCACUCUGUAUUUCCCCAAACUUAAAUCUUCUUUCUAUCACAGUCUUCUACAACCCCCUGAGUUCUGUGAUCCAGUUCCUUCAAUCAGUUAGAUCAUCAUGAGGAAAAUGCAGCUUCCAAGCUGCAAAGAGUGGUAGGACCUACAUUUGCAGUACCUUAAGUUGUCCAGCACUCUCCCAAAGGCCCUAAAUAAACUUUUAAAAAAUCCAGGUA
This is a long non-coding RNA of Anolis carolinensis (green anole), 2272 nucleotides long. RefSeq lists it as uncharacterized. The transcript has 3 exons. The record is from RefSeq and is a predicted model, not a curated record. NCBI's taxonomy places the organism in Eukaryota, Metazoa, Chordata, Lepidosauria, Squamata, Anolidae.